AUUGAACGCUAGCGGGAUGCCUUACACAUGCAAGUCGAACGAGUGGCGGACGGGUGAGUAAUAUAUAGGAAAGUGCCCAGUAGCGGGGGAUAACUACUCGAAAGAGUGGCUAAUACCGCAUAAUAUUGGAGAGGCCCAUAUAGGCUUAGAUAGUUGGUGGGGUAAAGGCGCACCAAGGCAACGAUCCGUAGCUGGUUUGAGAGGACGACCAGCCACACGGGGACUGAGACACGGCCCAGACUCCGACGGGAGGCAGCAGUGGGGAAUGUUGGACAAGGGGGGAAACCCUGAUCCAGCCAUGCCGCGUGUAUGAGAAGGCCUUCGGGUUGUAAAGUACUUUUGGCGGGGAAGCGGUAUCUGCAGAAGAAGCGCCGGCUAACUCCGUGCCAGCAGCCGCGGUAAUUC
RNAcentral lists this ribosomal RNA (405 nucleotides) under uncultured bacterium. RNAcentral describes it as "partial 16S ribosomal RNA". It matches the Rfam family "Bacterial small subunit ribosomal RNA", at positions 30 to 526 of the family's 1533-position model. The record is from RNAcentral.